RNAcentral lists this ribosomal RNA (512 nucleotides) under uncultured bacterium. RNAcentral describes it as "bacterial SSU rRNA". It matches the Rfam family "Bacterial small subunit ribosomal RNA", at positions 8 to 518 of the family's 1533-position model. The record is from RNAcentral.
GAGAGUUGAUCAUGGCUCAGGAUGAACGCUGGCGGCGUGACUUAACACAUGCAAGUCGAACGAAGCUCCGGAAGCAGAGAUUCGGUCAAAGCGGAAGGAAGACUUAGUGGCGGACGGGUGAGUAACGCGUGGGUAACCUGCCAUAUACAGGGGGAUAACAGUUAGAAAUGACUGCUAAUACCCCAUAAGCGCACAGUGAGGCAUCUCACAGUGUGAAAAGCCUUAACGGUAUAUGAUGGACCCGCGUCUGAUUAGCUUGUUGGCAGGGUAACGGCCUACCAAGGCGACGAUCAGUAGCCGGCCUGAGAGGGUGAACGGCCACAUUGGGACUGAGACACGGCCCAAACUCCUACGGGAGGCAGCAGUGGGGAAUAUUGCACAAUGGGGGAAACCCUGAUGCAAGCGACGCCGCGUGAGUGAAGAAGCAUUUCGGUGCGUAAAGCUCUAUCAGCAGGGAAGAAAAUGACGGUACCUGACUAAGAAGCCCCGGCUAACUACGUGCCAGCCGCAGC